This is a non-coding RNA of Tinamus guttatus (white-throated tinamou), 413 nucleotides long. Lineage: Eukaryota; Metazoa; Chordata; Aves; Tinamiformes; Tinamidae. The record is from RefSeq and is a predicted model, not a curated record.
AUACAUCAUUGAUUAUGUUAUUGUAAAUCAUUUGCAGGUGAGAGAUAUUUUGUAUUAUUACUUGUGCAGAGUCCAACACUCAUGAGAUAAAAAGGCCAAAUUGGAAUUUCACUUGAUGGAGUCCUGCACAUCAGAUACCUUCCUAUCUGGGGCUGCCAGUAAUGCAGCAGAAAUGCCAAAAUGAGAGGUAUUAGGUAGAAAACUCACAACAGCCUGCUUUUCUGGAACUGGACAAGAUGAAUCAGGCUCAGUGCAAAAGAAAAGUCAAGCUGGCAUAAAGAGGGGCUGAAGAUUGUCAGACUCCACAAUCAUCAUCCUAACGUAUUCCAGAGAAAAUCAUAACAGAAUUUGGUGAAAAUCUCUUAUUUGUUGUUUUUGGAAGAGCACAUUGACUGUUAAAAUUUACUUUUGCA